RNAcentral lists this ribosomal RNA (2030 nucleotides) under Triticum aestivum (bread wheat). RNAcentral's name for it is "partial small subunit ribosomal RNA". Lineage: Eukaryota; Viridiplantae; Streptophyta; Magnoliopsida; Poales; Poaceae. The record is from RNAcentral.
GCGGCACAGAAGUCGGACGAUCGUCGAGCGGCGGCUGCCCGGCCCCCUACUUCUGCUACCUCCCGCGGCACGAGACGCGGCGGUUGGUGCGCGGCGAGUGCGGGGAGAGAAAAGACCUCGCGAGGCGCGAGCAGAUGGGCCUGGCGGGGCGGCAGCACCGGCGGCGGCCGCUGCGCGGCGGGGCCUGCACCGCGCUCUGGGCCCGGGCGACGGAGGCGGAGCGGCGGCGCGAGCGGCCGGAGCCGCAGGCCGCGGCGGUGCACCAGCGGCACAAGCGCGUCUUGCAGGGCCGCUACACGCUCGACGUGAAGCGGCACGGGUACCGGCCGCGGCAGUAGACGCGCGAGUUGAGCGCGGAGCUGCGGCGGUACCGGAGGCAGGACGACGCGGUGAGCCUCCGGUCCCAGGAGAAGUACCUGCGGCGCGACGAGCCGCAGCGCGCCCUCCGGGAGGCGGAGGACAGGCUGCGGCCGCGGUGCGGGGGACGGCAGCAGGAGUAGUCUCUCGAGGAGGUGCCGACGCUGCUGCUGCCUAGUUGUAGAAGAAAUAGGCCGUGCUGCCCGUGGCUCGUGCUCAUGCUCCGAGACCACUCGCCCCCGCCCAGCGGCCUCAAGCGCCGGGCCACCGGCCGCCUGCUCUUGCUCGGCUAGCGCGAGUUGAUGUGCAGCCCGUGCUGCAGCGCCGGGUUCCCGCACUAGAUGUGGGUGGCGCCGCGCAUGGAGUUGUCGGAGCGGCGGCACGACGAGUUGCUGUACCGCAGGUACGGCCACAUGGAGACCUGCCACGGGUACAAGGUGACGUUGCCGACCACGUACCGCACCCCGCACCGCCGCGUCCCGCCGUGGUUGCAGACGGAGGCGUUCCAGUGGCCGCGCCGGUAGAAGCUGCGGCACCGGGCGGUGCCCCAGUGGGUGUACCCGCCGCGCGGGUGCCACGACCCGUACUAGCACGUGCGGCGCGGCCUCCUCUCCGCCGGCGACGGCGGCCCCUCCUUCCACCGGCACUACUGGCCGCCGCGCGGGGGCGGCGGCCGGCACGACAAGGCCUACCUCCUCGAGCCCAAGGACCACUAGGUGAGCAUGCCCGACUGCCUCUGCAUGCCGGGCCGGUGCCACACGUGCACCUUCGGGCUCACCCUGCGCGACGGCCGCCCGCUCGCCCGCCGCUAGUUCCGCGCCGUCCCCGAGGUGGUGGACCCGGACCUCCACCUGCAGUUCCUGGGGCGGUGGUACGCGUCGCAGGGGCGGCUGCCCCGGUGCUACCCCCUCCACUACAAGGCGCCGUUGUGCCACUACUCGCCCAUGAUGUUCCUGCGCCGGCGGUGCCGCCUCCGCGAGCGGCCGCCCACCAAGGCCAGCCCGCUGGACCGCCACGCCCAGGGGCCCCUGCCCAUGCACUUCUAGUCCCUGUCCAGGUUCCUGUAGUAGUAGAGGCCGCCCCUCUUGUAGUCGUGGUAGCUCCACCUCCGCCGCGACAAGCGCGUGGGCCGCCACCGCCUCCGCCGGCAGCACCCCGCCGGCCUGCUCGUGACCCCCCUCUGCGGCACGCGCAAGCACCACCGGUUCUUACCCCUCUCCCACCUCGGCCUCCUCCACCACCGCAAGACGGCCCCGUCCGACGGCGCCAUGUACCGCGGCUCCUGCCACCACCACCACCUCCUCGACGGGUUCUGCCGCUGGCCGUUCCACGUCUUCAAGCGCGAGGCCCUCUUCCGGUUCCGGUACCCGUCGGAGAGGUGGUCGUUCGAGACUUAAUGAGAUGAGGAGGGGAUUAGACAAGAUGCCACUAACGUUAGGUACAAACCAAACUUUACUUAUUAACCUCACUUAGUGUUUUGCUUAUUACUAAAUGUUUAGACAUUUAUACCACGGCCAUCGAAAACAAGCCCGAAGUAUAAGCAUACAAUAUGGGCACAAAGUAAUAGAAGUACUACUAAAAAGAUCCGAAAACCAAGCUAUAGGUCGGUAGUAACAAAGAGAAAAACUAAAAAAAAUCCCCUUUCGGUAGUAACAAAGACUUUGCUUGGGAAG